UUACCUACGUAAAUUCACUAAAUUAUUUCAAUAUAGUUUAAAUUAUUUUCGUAGCAAAGUCAAUAAUAAAUAAAACGAUCAUUAUCAGCAAAACACAAACCCUAUUAAAGUAAAUAAUUCAUCAUAUUAGAUGUACGUUUUAAAGUAUCUAUAUAACACUAAUCAACUAACUCAUUUACCCAGAAAAUGUUGUGGACACAAGAACAAUAUUAUAACUGAAUAACUGGUACAAUAAUAUAAUAUACUACUAUGUUUAUUGUAUGCAAUGGAAUCUGAUUAUAAUUUAAAUUGAUUUAUGGCAUCUUUUAAAAUAAUUAAAAAUUAUCUAAUCACUGAUUUGUGCCUGAGUAUAAUACAUUGUUUGUAGGGCUAUAUAGUUAUGUAAUUAUACACCCCAUAACAAUCGGUAAACAAUAUUUACACAUAAAAAAAAUUUUUUUUUGAAAUUAGAUUUUUAUUAUUUAUAAAAUUUAUUCAACAGACAAUAGUUAAUAAUUUUUAGUACCCAUCACCGUGUUUAAUACUCGUACAUAUUUAGUUUAAUAGAUAAUCGAUUGACAAUGUUAAUAUUGAUUAUUGAUAGACGCCAAUGUUUGCUAUAAAUAUUAGAUGCUUGUAUUUCAGUAUUUCACACGCUUGACAUGACAAUAUCACGUUUUGUAGUCUGCCAGGUUUUAAGAGUGCAAGUUGAUAUUAUUGAGAACUACUUAUGAGAACAUAAGAAUACGUGUUCCUUAAAUGUAUGUCAAUAAUUGAGCAAUUCUAGAUUAUAAGAAUAGUAUCGUUUCAUUUUAUUUGUAUUGUUAUUUGUAUAGAUUUAUUAAUAUAUAUUAUAAAGCUUGAAGCCAAAAUAUUAACGGAGUGAACAUUCGUCUGAUUUAAAUGUUUAAAAGUUGUAUGAAUGUGUAAUGUGUAUAAUGUGUGUAUGUCGAGACCUAGUUUACUACGCUAAUUAUCUUUUUUUUUUCUAAUUCGUUUAGUUUAUAUUAUAAUACCUAUUGAAAAAAUUAAGUUAAGUAAAGUUUAAAACCAUUUAACAUAUAAGUUCUAUAAAUAGGUUAGUUAACCUUAUGUUUUUACUUAAUUUUAAUUUAAAACUCGGUUUUGGCCUUGCAGCCACGUGUCUUCAAAAACAUUGGCUGAUGAGGUCAUUGCUACUCAUGGAUAAUAUUCACAACUGUAUAAGAUUGGUUUAAAAUUUUUUUUUUAAUAUUAAUAUUAUUAUUCAGAAAUACUCUAACAAGUUGUUUAACAAUUUUUUAACAAUUAGUCGUGACUAAUUAGCAUAAUUAUAUACACUUUUACUUAAGUAAGGUCGGUUACAGUAAUUUAUUAUUUUAUAACUUUUGGUGAUUCUGAGCAUAUCGAAGAAUGUAUAUAGGUUUUACAAAGAUGUAAUUUUUUUUUGUGUCUGCUAUCGCCUUUCG
Myzus persicae (green peach aphid) is the source of this 1427-nucleotide long non-coding RNA. RefSeq lists it as uncharacterized. The record is from RefSeq and is a predicted model, not a curated record. The transcript has 2 exons. Lineage: Eukaryota; Metazoa; Arthropoda; Insecta; Hemiptera; Aphididae.